RNAcentral lists this long non-coding RNA (9363 nucleotides) under Theobroma cacao (cacao). RNAcentral's name for it is "long non-coding RNA (TCAC_LNC004833)". Lineage: Eukaryota; Viridiplantae; Streptophyta; Magnoliopsida; Malvales; Malvaceae. The record is from RNAcentral.
CCAAAGCAAGAACAAAGGAAGAAAAGAAAGAACAAGAACCCUAGGGUGAAAAUUCAAGAGAAAAUUGGUGGAUUUCAAGUAAUCAAGCAAUCAAAGGUAAAAUUUCUUGAUUUUGACUUGUGAUCUACCUUUCCCAUACAUUCUUUUGCAUUUUUCAUGGUUGAAUCACAUGAUUUCAUGAUGGGUAUCUUGCUGGCUGAACACUUAGAGAGAGGUUUUGAUGCUUGAUUUGAUUAGAUUUCAAUGUAUUUUAGUGUUUUUAGUUGAUUGGUGAUGUGUAGCAUGAAAAUCAAGCAAGAAAAAUUCAUGUUCUUCCAUCACCCAUCAUUGGCCGAAUUCUCCAUGUGGAAUAUUGAGGAUGAUUUUGAUUUUAUUUCAAGUGAUUUGGUUAGGAAUUAGUGAUUUAUGGUGCGAGAAUCAAGUAGGAAAAAUCAUAGUGUUGAUGCACCCACCAUGGCUGAAUUUUCCAAGAGAAAAUGUGAGGAUGAUUUUGCCAUAUUUCAAGUUAUUUAAUUUGUGUUUGAUGAUUUGGAGUAUUGGGAGAAAAAUGGAAUUAUUUGGAGUUGAAUUGGACGUAUUGGCCAAUUAAUUGGGUGAUAGAUCGAGUUAGGCCAACAUCGCAUGUAGACGAUAAUCCGAACAAUUCACGUUCCAUAUCAUGCAUUCAUAUAGAGUUUAGAUUAGUUUUAUAACAAUUUAGCACCAAUGUGGUAAAUUGCUUGAUUGUGCAUUAUAUCUAGGUGGUGAACAUUCUGGUAAAAGUAAAGAGAUAGUACCCGAAGAUCAAGAAUCGGAGUACUCGAAACUCGAUUUCCAUUCUAGUGAGUAACCUUAUCAUCAUCUUGAUUAUCUGAAGUGAAUUUUAAUUCGUUUUUGUGAUUUUAUGAAAAAUGAGUUUAAAUGGUAAAUCUUUAUGUUUUAAAAGCAAAAUGUGAUUAAAUGAAAUGAUUUUAUAAAAUUGUCUUGAAAUUGAAUGAUGGUUUUGGAAAAUGGAGUAAUUGGAGACUAAUUGCUAUGUUGUAAAUUAUGGUUUGAAUUGAAUGGCUUAUGAUAAUAUUGGCAUGAAUGGUUGGAUUUGGUAAAUGUGUUGAAAAUGUAUGAACUGUUGAUUUGCUUUGAGAGGCUGUAAAAUAAAAUAAUUGCCAUGUCAUGUUAUUGAAUUUUAUUGAAUUGGUGGGUUAUAAAUUGAUCGCUGCAGUGGAUGGGUUCCGUGGACCAGCCUAUUAAAGGGGCAUGGUAACCCUAUUAUAUUCAUACCUCAGUAUGAGAGGCGCGGUUGGAUAACUCUUGAGGUUAAAACUUUAGAGUUCACUUCACUAAACCACCACGUGAGGGUGAACUCAGCCAACGUCAAGGAACGACUAUGUUUUCAGAAUAAAAACAUGAUUUAUGCGUACAUGACUUUUAAAAGCCUUGGCGGACUAGGUUUGGGAUAGCCCUCGGCCAAGGUAUCCUUGAUAACUGAGUAUGAGAAUGAUUUUGGCACGAGCCAAGCUUUUCUAGAAAUCAUAAGUCUCGUUAUUUAUUUGGGUGAAAUGAACCUAUUUUAUCUUAUUAAAAUGAGUUCGAAAUGCUGUGAAUCAUUUUUAUGCUAAUCUAAUUUAUCUGUCUCCAUUUACUCAGUUUUAGAUAUUUUAGAUGAUAUUUGUUUACUCACUGGGAUUAUAUAAUCUCACCACCCUCAUUUCCACCUAUUUCAGGCUCAAGAUAGUCGAUAGAUAGCUCACUUUGUUGAGGGCUACAGUUGGACUUGCAUCCUAAAAAACUAUAGGUUUACCGCUUUUGAUACUUUUGGUUGUUCGUGGGCCCAUGUGUCACUGUAAAUUAAAUUUUAUAGAUUGGUUAUCUAUAUUACAGUAUGUAUGAGUUUUUUUAGCUUUUACGCUACAAAAAUUAUUUACCGGUAACUCUAUAAAUAUUGUUUUAUAAGAAAAUAGAAUAUUUUAUUGAAUAUUUUUAUUAUAUUCAAGUAGUCAUAAUUUCAUUUUAAAUGAAGGUUUUAGAUGUUUAAACUUAUUUUUGAUUAUGAAUCAUGUGUUUUAUACUCACAUACUACAUUUUUAGCUAGUUUCGAGAUUUUUGAGAAAAAAUGACCAAAAUGCCCCUGUGAGAAAAAAAUUAUUUUUCUAUUGUUUUGAUUUGGAAAUAGUUUAUAAUCUCUCAAAACAUGAUACUUAACAACUGUUGCUCACAGAGGAGGUGUGGAAGCUGAUAUUAAAGCCUUGCGGGGUUCCGGUUGACAUUCCGGGUAAUAAGUGUCGAUCAGGACACCGCGGCGGUUGUCAUGGGCUUGAGGGGGGUAUCGGGUUGUGAGAAUUAGAGUGGUAUCAAAGCUUUUGGUUUUAAAGAUUAGAGCUUUUUGAUUUAAAGUUGUUUUAAAGUUAUUUUGAAGACUACAGUGUCAGUAUGGCCCUAAGUUAAGUUAAGUUAGGUUUGAUAGAAUAGAAUACGUGCACCUGCAUAUAGAAUUUGAGUUGAUUAGACUCGUUCUGUUUCUUCUUAUAGAUCUUAUGGGAGCAUAAGUCAUAGACAGGGAGCUAUAUGAACUCUUGUUCUCAGUAAUCCACUUCCUUGUUAAUGUCAUGCAAAGGUCAUAAGUGGAGUCGUUGUCCGGGUUUGAGAUUACACUCGUGACACGAGCCAGUGUUAGAGAGAUCUUAAAACGAAUGCUCCUAAUGAAAGAUUAAUGAAAUGAUAUAUCCCUCCGAUUAAGGAUGGAGAAAUUUGGAGUUGGACUAAUAGGCCGUGAUAAUUUAUUCAUUUGGUGGAGUUAUAAUUGAACUCAUGGUUGUCUGUUGGAAAAAGAUUUGGGGAAUAUGGAUUGUAUUGGGGUUAAUAUAAAAGAACAUGUGUGAUAAUGGUAAUAAGGGGCGCACUUUGAUUAGAAUGAAUAGUGAUGGUUGUAAUUCACUUGGAGUGUAUAAAUUAAGCAUUGAGGUAAAAGUAAACCCAUGCUUAUAUGCAUGAAGAUAAGAACACUAUGUUAAUUGAGCUUGUUAUGCCCAUAUAAAAGUGGUGUUGGGAUUUUGAAAUAUUUUAUGUGAAUAUGUGUUGAAUAGGUACAACAACUUAGAGGGAACUGGUGUUGAUUUCAAUUAAGCGAUUGUGAGAUUUCAAGAAUUGAUUAGACCUAUUAUAGUUCAUGGAUAUAGGCACGUGAAUUAACUCGAGAGUGAGCAUCAAUGAUUACUAUAAUUGAUGUGUGGUCAUGAAGUAAGAAGUUAGUAAACAAAUCUGCUCUAAGGAUGAGCUUAAACUUUGCUAUGCAUAGUAGGGGGAGCCAAGGGAUUAAAGGACUAGAUGUGGAAUUGGCAGCUUGAGGUUAAAUGACUUGAAAAUGUCGAAUCUAGUCUAAGUGCCAUAUAAAAUUCUAUAAUUGAGAUUGAUAUACGAAUUACUUAAAAGAUCAAUUUAAAAGUCUAUUUAGUUCAAAGUGUGGCUUAUGAUACGAAUGAUCAGUCUUGAAGGUGAUCUCCCCAGAGUAAGAAAUUUAGAAAAUGUUGAUGUUUGGAUAUACUCUAAGAGAGAGAACUUCUGCAUCCUAAGUUUAGGACAACUUUGAUCUUAUGAUCGCAAAGGCAAGGUGUAAUAACUAAGUAAAUUAUUCACUUAAUAAAUGUGAUUGGUUAUUGAUGAAUAAAGUCAAGAUCUUAACAUUUAGUGGUAUACAAUUUGAUAAUUAUGUAUUUAAGAGUUAUUUGGAGACAAUUCCUUCAUCAAAUUUGCACUAAAUGCUAUGGUAAAGGCAUAUCAAUGUUAAUAUGGAAAUGUAUCUAGGAAUGAUCUUAACAUACCACCAAAGGAGAAUUAAACAUGUUGAAAUUAAUGUUCUAAUAGUGUGAAUAUGAUAAAAAGCUAGUUUGUAAGUUGUAGUUUUCAUGAUCAUGAAAUAUAUAAAGAUUAUCAAUAUAUGGACAUACACUUGGAGUUGUAAUUUACAAGUUUGGAGUAUUUAAGAUAUGAUUAAAUGGAAUUAGCAUUAGUUAAGGUACGUAAAUCUUUUAAUUAAUUUCUGUGGAGUAUGCAUGAUAAUAGAAUGGAGGAACAUAGUGCCGUGAUACUAUAUGGUGAAGUUACUAUACAAUAUGGAAAGAGUAUUCUAAAGUGGGAUUUAUUGACUGAUGAUAAGUGAUGUGCAAUAUGAGAUACAUGUAGCUAUGAAUAAAUUUGGAGAUUUUUGCUUAAGCAAACUUGUACUAAAUGUUAUGGUAAAGAUAUAUGAAUGUUAGUGGCAAAAUAAAUAUGUUAAAUCAAUGUUCUGAUCGCGCACUUGUGAUAGAAAGUUAGUCUUGCUAAUUGUGGUAUAGACUUAGAGGGAAGCCACACGAUUGUGAAUAAUUGAGGCAGUAGCUUUAAAGGUAGAAGAGUUGUUGGGAUAAAGUGAAUUCAAACAGUUGCAACGCCACAGUACUGACUAUCAAACGCUGUCGCGUUAAGAACCCCUUAUAGUUAGAAAGCAUGAGCAGAUUGGGAGUGGCAUGAAGAUGAAACUCACGAGUUGAAGAAUGGUCAUUGGUUUUGAUGCUAAGCUUUGUUGUUUGGAGUCUUAAGUGCAUUGGGGAGGUAUUAAGAUAAAGAUGAUGAAUGAAAUUGCAAAGUUUCCUUAUUGCCUUAUAUAUUGGCACGUAAGAGAAAGAAAAGUUAGAAAGUUUUUGAGAUGGCUACAUAAAAAUAAAUUAACAUGGGGAGUGUUAAGAUGAAUAAUAUGUUGACUGAAGUCAAAUCUUAAGAAAUAAAGAAGACAAGAGAUUAAGCCUUGUUAAAGACCAAAGAGAAAGCGAGGGAAAGGUUAGAUGAAUGUAUGAGAUAUUGAUAAAAGAUGUCAAUACCAAGUGAUGAGAGUGUGAAUGAAGAUUCAAGAAUGAUAUAGCAAAUGAGUUUAUAUAGAAUAUUGUUACUAGAAUUUGCAAAUCUUGUCUUGACUUUGUUGAAAGGAAAGGAUUAGUGACAACACAAGUAAACUAUGUGGUAUGCUAGAAACCCUUGGAGAUAAAUUGAAGCAUGAGUAGUUGAGCAUGCCUUUAUGGAAAUGAUAUACUUGGAGUAUGAAAGAGCAAAUAAGUGAUUAAGUGUUUCAAGAAUGUUUAAACACCUUUGAGAAAGAAUUAUAAAUUAUACGAGAUGAGUAUAAGAUGUGUGAUUUUGAAACUUGCUAAGGAGCCAAACGGCUAAGUCACGAGUUAAGUGAUCACAUGCUAUGAGACAUAAGUUUACGAUAGAUAUCCCCAAGGAAAUACUCAAGAUAAGUUCUGCAAUGGAUCUCGUGAAAGUAAACAUUAAGUUAUAUGAUCAUAAAAAGGAAGCCAUAAGUUAAGAGUGAUACUUGUAUUGACAUUGAAAAGUACUUGAGGAGGACAUAGUUUCAAGUCUUGUAAUUUCAAGUACAAUUUGUAAAUUGGUUAAGGGAGAAUGAUGUUAUGUUCAUAUGAAAGAGUGGAACAAAGGAUGAUUGAAGUUGACCUUGAUAAUAAAUUCAGAUAAUGAAACUUUCCUAAUAUAUUAUGGAAAAUUGGAAUUCGAAAACGCUUGAGGCAUACAUGAUUCAAAUGAGUUUGAGUCUUAAGUGACAAAUCAAUAUCGAAAUGCAAUAAGGAUACAAUAUAUGUAAGAGGCAUGAAAGAUAAUCGAGGAAUAAGGAUGACUUUUAGGAAUUAUGGUAUUGCAUAACAUGCAAUGAUCGAGUCAAGGAAAAAUUUUUGAAGUAUCAAUGGGAUUAUAAAGCAUACACGCAUAAUAGAUUAUAAUUCAAUGGAGAUGACAUUGUGAUGCAAUGAUAUAUAGUACAAGGAAACUUAAGUAUACAAUUGGAAAUGAUAAGAAGAGAGUAUAAGUAGGUAAAUGAUGUGAAACUAUGCACAAGCAUGAUGAGAAUUUGUAUGAACUAUGAAGAUUAUUCUAUUGAAUCUUGAUUAUUGAUGGGAAUGAACAAAGAGAAAUUAGUCUAAAGGUAUUUGAAAACAGAGACCCGUAUACUUAAUGAGGAAUAUAGACAUUUGAAUGUGCAUGUAUACGUGUGUGUGGAGUUAGUGAUGUACCCAACUAAAAUGAAGAAUGGUUUUAGUGGUUCGAGAUUUGAACACAAUAUAUUUGAUGAGUGUAUAGGUAAUGUAACGAUCAAGAAUCUUAUCAGAAGUCGAUUUAUGGUAACCUAAGGAAUUUUGGGGAAAUAGUUAAGGGAAUGUAAUCUAUAGUGCGAUUAAGCCAUAUGAGAUGGACUAAUAGGAUUAAGAAGAUUGAAAUUUCCUAAAUGUAAGGUAAACAUGAAGUAUGUGGAAAUAAUUGAAGCCAUUAAUCUUCCCUAACGUUGAGGAUAUGUAUAAGAAUGAGUAUGGCAUGUUAAUGAUACUGUAAACUACACAAUAUUGUAUGAGGAUGGAAUGAAUGAAUGAAAGUUGAGAAGUUUGAUAUGGAAUGAAGUAAUAAGAUAGAGAUUGGUAUACCUAAAUAAGUAUAGAAUGUGAUCGAAAUUGGUAUGAUUGAGAUGGAGUUAUGGUUCAAGUUUAAUGAUAGUAAUAGAAGCAUGCUUAGUGUCUCGAUAUAAAAGAUCAUAAUUGUGAAGGUUACUAUUGAUAUGAUUUUAAAGGAUAAUAAUAGACAUAAGUGAGGUACUCGAGUUAAAUUGGAGGAAAAUGAGGUGAACAAAUCGAAAUUCCCUAUAAAGCGGAGGACAUAAGAAGUCGAGCAUUAGAGGAGAAAACAAUAUCCUCACCUUUUCUCUAAGUUCAGUAAAUAAAAUUUUGAGGUCAAAUAUUUAUUUUAAGGGGGGUAGUGCUGUCAAGCCCGACUCUACAAUAUGUUUAUUAUGCCAUUCCUACAUAAGAAUGCAUGUUUGCUUACUUGGGUACCUCAAAAAUCGUUAAAGGACGGUAUUGUACCAAAUGGUACAAUUAAGUUGGAUUAAGCCUCGAACUAGUCCAAAUAGAGAUUUUAAGAUGAAAUUGAGAAUUUUAAAACCCCAUAAUGACUUAAAAUGGUGAUUCGAAGUUCAAGGACCGACUUGGAGUCAAAUUGAAAUUUUCAUGAAAUAGGAGCAAAAUGGUCAUUUUGCCACUCGAGGUUAAAAUUGGAAUGUUGGAAGAAGUUUUUUUAUCAAGAUUGACUAUUUAGAACAUAAAUUGAGUUUGAGAAGUGAAAAUUUUAAUUUCGAUAUUUUUCCAAGCAUAAGGGUAAAAUAGUCAUUUUGCCACCCUAGGGGCAAAAUUAUAAUUUUACACCACCCAACACUUGUCCAGCACAUAGAUUUUACCCAAUAUUAUUAUGCCUAAUUAAGGAAAUUUAAAUGGUGGAGAGAUAUUGCUUAAUGGGUAAGUAUGACACAUGGACUAAUGGAAUGGUGACAUGUGUCAAUUUUCAUCCAUUUAUUAUUUGGCUUAAAAAUCAGCACAAAAUCAGCCCAUUUCUCUUCAUAUGGCCGGCCAAAGCAAGAACAAAGGCAGAAAAGAAAGAACAAGAACCCUAGGGUGAAAAUUCAAGAGAAAAUUGGUGGAUUUCAGGUAAUCAAGUAAUCAAAGGUAAAAUUUCUUAAUUUUGACUUGUGAUCUACCUUUCCCAUACAUUCUUUUGCAUUUUUCAUGGUUGAAUCACAUGAUUUCAUGAUGGGUAUCUUGCUGGCUGAACACUUAGAAAGAGAUUUUGAUGCUUGAUUUGAUUAGAUUUCAAUGUAUUUUAGUGUUUUUAGUUGAUUGGUGAUGUGUAGCAUGAAAAUCAAGCAAGAAAAAUUCAUGUCCUUCCAUCACCUAUCAUUAGCUGAAUUCUCCAUGUGGAAUAUUGAGGAUAAUUUUGAUUUUAUUUCAAGUGAUUUGAUUAGGAAUUAGUGAUUUAUGGUGGGAGAAUCAAGUAGGAAAAAUCAGAGUGUUGAUGCACCCACCAUGGCCAAAUUUUUCAAAGAGAAAAUGUGAGGAUGAUUUUGCCAUAUUUCAAGUUAUUUAAUUUGUGUUUGAUGAUUUGGAGUAUUGGAAGAAAAAUGAAAUUAUUUGGAGUUAAAUUGGACGUAUUGGCCAAUUAAUUGGGUGAUAGAUCGAGUUAGGCCAACACUGCAUAUAGACGAUAAUCCGAACAAUUUGCGUUCCAUAUCAUGCAUUCAUAUAGAGUUUAGAUUAGUUUUAUAACGGUUUAGCACCAACAUGGUAAAUUGCUUGAUUUUGCAUUAUGUCUAGGCGGUGAGCAUUCUGGCAAAAGUAAAGAGAUAGUACCCGAGGAUCAAGAAUCGGAGUAUUCGGAACUCGAUUUCCAUUACAGUGAGUAACCUUAACAUUAUCUUGAUUAUCUGAAGUGAAUUUUAAUUCGUUUUUGUGAUUUUAUGGAAAAUGAGUUUAAAUGGUAAAUCUUUAUGUUUUAAAAGCAAAAUAUGAUUAAAUGAAAUGAUUUUAUAAAAUUGUCUUGAAAUUGAAUGAUGGUUUUGGAAAAUGGAGCAAUUGGAGACUAAUUGUUGUGUUGUAAAUUAUGGUUUGAAUUGAAUGGCUUAUGAUAAUAUUGGCAUGAAUGGUUGGAUUUGGUAAAUGUGUUGAAAAUGUAUGAACUGUUGAUUUGCCUCGAGAGGCUGUAAAAUAAAAUAAUUGCCAUGUCAUGUUGUUGAAUUUUAUUGAAUUGGUGGGUUAUAAAUUGAUCGCUGCAGUGGACGGGUUCCGUGGACCAGCCUAUUAGAGGGGCACGGUAACCCUAUUAUAUUCAUACCUCAGUAUGAGAGGCACAGUUGGAUAACUCCUGAGGUUAAAACUUUAGAGUUCACUUCACGCCAAACCACCACGUGAGGGUGAAUUCAGCCAACAUUAAGGAACGACUAUGUUUUCAAAAUAAAAACAUAAUUUAUGCGUACAUGACUUUUAACAGCCUUGGCGGACUCGGUUUGGGAUAGCCCUCGGCCAAGGCAUCCCUGAUAACUGAGUAUGAGAAUGAUUUUGGCACGAGCCAAGCUUUUUAGGAAAUCAUAAGCCUCGUUGUUUAUUUGGAUGAAAUGAACCUAUUUUAUCUUAUUAAAAUGAGUUCAAAAUGCUGUGAAUCAUUUUUAUACUAAUUUAAUUUAUCUGUCUUCAUUUACUUAGCUUUAGAUAUUUUAGAUUAUAUUUGUUUACUCACUGGGAUUGUAUAAUCUCACCACCCUUAUUUCCACCCAUUUCAGGCUCAAGAUAGUUGGUAGAUAGCUCACUUUGUUGAGGGCUACAGUUGGACUUGCAUCCUAAAAAAUUGUAGGUUUACCGCUUUUAAUACUUUUGGUUGUUCGUAGGCCCACGUGUUACUGUAAAUUAAAUUUUAUACUUUAGUUAUCUGUAUUACAGUAUGUAUGAAUUUAUUUAGCUUUUACGUUGCAAAAAUUAUUUACCGGUAACUCUAUAAAUAUUGUUUUAUAAGAAAAUAGAAUAUUUU